UUUAAUUAUCCAAUUUUUGCG
RNAcentral lists this non-coding RNA (21 nucleotides) under Caenorhabditis elegans. The record is from RNAcentral. Lineage: Eukaryota; Metazoa; Nematoda; Chromadorea; Rhabditida; Rhabditidae.